RNAcentral lists this ribosomal RNA (164 nucleotides) under Moeroris hutchinsoniana. RNAcentral describes it as "Phyllanthus hutchinsonianus 5.8S ribosomal RNA". It matches the Rfam family "5.8S ribosomal RNA". Rfam says of the family: 5.8S ribosomal RNA (5.8S rRNA) is a component of the large subunit of the eukaryotic ribosome. Lineage: Eukaryota; Viridiplantae; Streptophyta; Magnoliopsida; Malpighiales; Phyllanthaceae. RNAcentral also lists the same sequence under 1 other name. The record is from RNAcentral.
UAAACGACUCUCGGCAACGGAUAUCUCGGCUCUCGCAUCGAUGAAGAACGCAGCGAAAUGCGAUACUUGGUGUGAAUUGCAGAAUCCCGUGAACCAUCGAGUCUUUGAACGCAAGUUGCGCCCAAAACCUUCGGGUCGAGGGCACGUCUGCCUGGGUGUCACGC